This is a long non-coding RNA of Pogonomyrmex barbatus (red harvester ant), 584 nucleotides long. RefSeq lists it as uncharacterized. The record is from RefSeq and is a predicted model, not a curated record. Lineage: Eukaryota; Metazoa; Arthropoda; Insecta; Hymenoptera; Formicidae.
AUUCAUUUUUUUCAAAAUUCAGAUCUAUGAUAGGCUAAGUCCCCACAUCCCUAAUGAAUCGCUAAUCUCUAUUCGUCAGAGACCAGUGAGACUUUUUUAAUUUCAGAACCGAAGACCCACCCCCGCGAUAACUAUUUAUUACGAACUUCCCCAAAGGAAGUGCACAUUCUUGUACAUUCGCGCACAUUUUCGUCCGCAUUCUCGUGCGCACUCUUGCUUUUGAUUCUUGCUUUCAUUAAAUAAGCGUGGAAAGAUUUAAUUUCUUUACUCUUAAUAUUAAAUUAGAACGGGCCGGUUAAAUUAGAACAAAUUCAAAACUUCUUCCAAAAUAUUACUUUUAAUUUAUGUCAAAUCUUUAUUAUAACCGGGAGUGUUCAAUUUUUUAUUCCGCGUUGUGCCUGACUCCUCAUCAUCGGCUGUAGAAACCCAGGAGCACUCUGCCAAGCACUGACUGCUGCCUACACCUCGACCCUGACACCUUUUUUGGAGUGGCCACCUGCAAUGAUAUUCUUCGCAGUAAUGUCAAUGCAAAGAUAAAUCUGAGGGAGGAAGAAAAAGAAAGGAAGAGAAAAACGAAACAGAAA